CACUCGGAGAAGGUAAUUGAUUGAUCCGAUGUGACUCUCAUAGUAUUUAUCUACACCAUAGCUUUCAAACAUCAUUCUGCUCACCGUGUGUUCUAGUUGUGAUACCAGCAUUGAAUAGGAGUGCAUGAUUUUACUGAACAACCAUGAAAUAUUUUGGGGUUAGAGAGAUGUUAAAUGAUAUGGAUUAGCAUUUUAAGGAUUUUAAAAA
This 208-nucleotide long non-coding RNA is filed under the name Actinidia chinensis (golden kiwifruit). RNAcentral describes it as "long non-coding RNA (ACHI_LNC000520)". The record is from RNAcentral. Lineage: Eukaryota; Viridiplantae; Streptophyta; Magnoliopsida; Ericales; Actinidiaceae.